Lolium perenne is the source of this 287-nucleotide non-coding RNA. The record is from RefSeq and is a predicted model, not a curated record. Lineage: Eukaryota; Viridiplantae; Streptophyta; Magnoliopsida; Poales; Poaceae.
CCAUUGGUGGGUUAUCUUUGUCGAUAUCCAUUUCAGGAAAUUUAGAGUGUCUAGCUCACUGAAGUUGACUGAAUCUCAGAUGGCUUCUACUGAAAGAAUUUGCAAAUCAUUCAAGAAACUUUACAGUCAUCUUCAUGGUGUCGAGGGAUUAAAUAUCUCAUCGUUCAAGAUAAAAGUUUGCGGCACCCCUUCUUGUUCAGAGAAAAGCGCGAGGCGUGACUGUGGUAUCUAUGCAAUGAGGUUCAUUUGGAUAUUCAAGGCUAAUUUUUACCCAAAUGUAUUCAAGG